AAAAUGUGAUACAUUUACAUUAAACCCUAAAUGGCGUAUUUAUAGUGUUCAAUGAGAGUCCUUAUGAGGAUAGAAAUCCGUAUUAAAGUUGGGAGAAUCCUAAUAGGAAAUCUGGGAAGAUAUUCCCUUUCCAUUAGGCUAAUAAUUACUUGGAGCACAUGCUAAUUCCCAUAAUAAUAGGAAUUCCCAAGAUUUUCUCCUAAUAAAAGUAGGAUUAGGAGUUAUGUUCCUCGAGGGCCUAGUAG
This 245-nucleotide long non-coding RNA is filed under the name Malus domestica (apple). RNAcentral's name for it is "long non-coding RNA (MDOM_LNC006694)". The record is from RNAcentral. Lineage: Eukaryota; Viridiplantae; Streptophyta; Magnoliopsida; Rosales; Rosaceae.